CCCCAAACCACCUCCAAAUAGAACCUGCUUGUCCCCAUCUCUUCUCUCUAUGGGGCAGAGGAGGUGGAGGUGCUGCUGGAGCAUCCCAGGGAACACGGGUAUCAUGGGACAAAGCCAAACCAUAGGGUCACUUGUAUGAAGGCAAUGUCGGAGGGCGAAGUGGAUUAAAGUUCAUCAGAAUGUUCCCCCUCUCUCCAACUCUACUUUUGGUUAUAAACAGGAAGCUGAGGUUUUAUGUCACCCCCAAAACUUUGCAGAACGUGCCUGCUUUUAUAGCAGCUUUUAUUUAUUUGUUUCUUCCCCUCAUUGGGAAACAGAGAGUUUGCAGCUGAUGGGAAGCAGGGGAGGUGCUAAAAUCCAACUCCCCCCCCCCCAAAUAUCUGCGGUGCCUUUCACUGUAAAACCCAAAUCUCCUCCCGAUGGGGGGAACAGAGACGGAAAAGGGGAUAAUGUUUCCCUCCGUUCCCAUUGUCCCAGCACUGGACUUUGUUUGAGAGGAGUCUGAAUAAAGUGUGGAACACGCUGUGAGUCCAGGUGAGCUCUCUCUCAAUGGGAACAUCCAAUGAAGGCUACAGUGUGGAGCAAGUGGGAGAGCAGAGCCAGGAGCCCCAUGGGUACAGCAGGACCCCACUGCUGGAUUUUCAUAGGAGACCCUGCUGCUGCUGCAUUGCUCCAUCUUACCAGCAACAGCCAGCGGGGCCGCUCUGCUGUCACAUCCCCACACGCUGUCCCUGCACACAUUGAGCAGACGGAGAUGUUUUAAUUAACAAAAUCACAGCGUCACGUCUCGGUGCCGGAUUGAAGAGGCAGCGCUGGGAGUGAGCGGCUGCUUCCCUGCUGUUGUGCCCAUAAAGGCCCCAUGUCCCCAAUGGGCAGCUGAAGGUCAAGCAGAUGGGUUUGGUUUUUCUUGCCCCUUGAGUCAUUUU
RNAcentral lists this long non-coding RNA (926 nucleotides) under Coturnix japonica (Japanese quail). RNAcentral describes it as "lncRNA (ENSCJPG00005019334.1)". The record is from RNAcentral. Lineage: Eukaryota; Metazoa; Chordata; Aves; Galliformes; Phasianidae.